CGCAAGCCUGAUCCAGCAAUGCCGCGUGAGUGAAGAAGGCCUUCGGGGUUGUAAAGCUCUUUGUCAGGGAAGAAACGGGUGGGGAGCUAAUAUCUCCUGCUAAUGACGGUACCUGAAGAAUAAGCACCGGCUAAACUACGUGCCAGCAGCCGCGGUAAUACGUAGGGUGCAAGCGUUAAUCGGAAUUACUGGGCGUAAAGCGUGCGCAGGCGGUUUUUGUAAGUCUGAUGUGAAAUACCCCGGGCUCAACCUGGGAAUUGCAUUGGAGACUGCAAGGCUAGAAUCUGGCAGAGGGGGGUAGAAUUCCACGUGUAGCAGUGAAAUGCGUAGAUAUGUGGAGGAACACCGAUGGCGAAGGCAGCCCCCCUGGGUCAAGAUUGACGCUCAUGCCACGAAAGCGUGGGGAGCAAACAGGAUUAGAUACCCUCGGUAG
RNAcentral lists this ribosomal RNA (433 nucleotides) under uncultured bacterium. RNAcentral describes it as "bacterial SSU rRNA". It matches the Rfam family "Bacterial small subunit ribosomal RNA", at positions 376 to 793 of the family's 1533-position model. The record is from RNAcentral.